This 253-nucleotide ribosomal RNA is filed under the name uncultured bacterium. RNAcentral's name for it is "partial 16S ribosomal RNA". It matches the Rfam family "Bacterial small subunit ribosomal RNA", at positions 524 to 776 of the family's 1533-position model. The record is from RNAcentral.
UACAGAGGGUGCAAGCGUUAAUCGGAUUUACUGGGCGUAAAGGGCGCGUAGGCGGUUUGUUAAGUGAGAUGUGAAAUCCCUGGGCUCAACCUAGGAACUGCAUCUUAUACUGGGAGACUAGAGUACUGUAGAGGGUAGUGGAAUUUCCGGUGUAGCGGUGAAAUGCGUAGAGAUCGGAAGGAACACCAGUGGCGAAGGCGGCUACCUGGACAGAUACUGACGCUGAGGCGCGAGAGCGUGGGGAGCAAACAGG